RNAcentral lists this ribosomal RNA (469 nucleotides) under Lamellibrachia sp. Its description in RNAcentral is "partial 28S ribosomal RNA". Lineage: Eukaryota; Metazoa; Annelida; Polychaeta; Sabellida; Siboglinidae. The record is from RNAcentral.
UGAGGGAAAGUUGAAAAGAACUUUGAAGAGAGAKUUYAACAKUACGUGAAACCGUUCAGARGUAAACGGAUGGGAACGCAAAGUCGGCCCGCGGAAUUCAGCCCGUCGUGCGCGCGUCGUCGACGCGUCCGGAUCCUCACGGAMCGGCACGUCGGCGGGCGCGUGCGUGUCGGGUGCACUUUCGGCGRGUUGAGCGCCACGACCGKYUUGCUGGCGGUCUCAAGCCCCGAGAGAAGGUGAUCGCGACGAGGCACCCGCCUCGCUYGCGGAGUUAUACRUCUCKGCGGCGUUGGCCCGCCRGCAGACCGAGGAACAUUCMGUUGCCCRCCGCGGYGCGUGCGCCGGACCCSGACRYCSGUCGUCCGACUGGCGAAGACUGCUCUCAGUUUUCGCUGACCGCGGCCGCUCGGGGGCUCGGCUCAACACGCGCUCACGCUCAGGGUCUGUGGCGAAUCGGUCGGCCRMSUAU